Molecule: long non-coding RNA, 287 nt
Filed under: Gorilla gorilla gorilla (western lowland gorilla)
Lineage: Eukaryota; Metazoa; Chordata; Mammalia; Primates; Hominidae
Description: lncRNA (ENSGGOG00000044477.1)
Source: RNAcentral
GACAGAUUAAAAGCUGCUAUACACUUUGGAACUGGAAACUGAGCUCCCAAUGUAAAGGAGAUAAGCCAUCAUGCUUACAAUAUGUUGUGCAGAGCUCACUGGUGGGCAGUUUUUCUUAACAAUGCAUCAGGACUUUUGUUAUUUGUAAAGGAAGCUUAAAGGAAGCUGAGAGUGCUGAGGGCACAUCUGAAACCACUGGAGGUUGGCGACAUAUAGGUCAGGACAGAUGCAUGGCCAGCCUCAGGUUGCUAAACGUUAGGGUGCUCUGCCUUCCUUCUGGGGCGGUG